GAGUUGAUUCCUGAGAGGUCAAAAGGAGUGGACUGUAAAUCCAUUAAUAUAUAUAUUUUCAUCGGUUCAAAUCCGGUUCAACUCA
RNAcentral lists this transfer RNA (85 nucleotides) under Nephromyces sp. ex Molgula occidentalis. RNAcentral's name for it is "tRNA-Tyr". It matches the Rfam family "tRNA". Rfam says of the family: Transfer RNA (tRNA) molecules are approximately 80 nucleotides in length. Their secondary structure includes four short double-helical elements and three loops (D, anti-codon, and T loops). Further hydrogen bonds mediate the characteristic L-shaped molecular structure. tRNAs have two regions of fundamental functional importance: the anti-codon, which is responsible for specific mRNA codon recognition, and the 3' end, to which the tRNAs corresponding amino acid is attached (by aminoacyl-tRNA synthetases). tRNAs cope with the degeneracy of the genetic code in two manners: having more than one tRNA (with a specific anti-codon) for a particular amino acid; and 'wobble' base-pairing, i.e. permitting non-standard base-pairing at the 3rd anti-codon position. The record is from RNAcentral. Lineage: Eukaryota; Apicomplexa; Aconoidasida; Nephromycida.